RNAcentral lists this ribosomal RNA (460 nucleotides) under uncultured bacterium. Its description in RNAcentral is "partial 16S ribosomal RNA". It matches the Rfam family "Bacterial small subunit ribosomal RNA", at positions 338 to 795 of the family's 1533-position model. The record is from RNAcentral.
CCUACGGGAGGCAGCAGUGAGGAAUAUUGGUCAAUGGACGAGAGUCUGAACCAGCCAAGUAGCGUGAAGGAUGACUGCCCUAUGGGUUGUAAACUUCUUUUAUAUGGGAAUAAAAUGUUCCACGUGUGGGAUUUUGUAUGUACCGUAUGAAUAAGGAUCGGCUAACUCCGUGCCAGCAGCCGCGGUAAUACGGAGGAUCCGAGCGUUAUCCGGAUUUAUUGGGUUUAAAGGGAGCGUAGGUGGAUUGUUAAGUCAGUUGUGAAAGUUUGCGGCUCAACCGUAAAAUUGCAGUUGAAACUGGCAGUCUUGAGUACAGUAGAGGUGGGCGGAAUUCGUGGUGUAGCGGUGAAAUGCUUAGAUAUCACGAAGAACUCCGAUUGCGAAGGCAGUUCACUGGACUGCAACUGACACUGAGGCUCGAAAGUGUGGGUAUCAAACAGGAUUAGAUACCCGAGUAGUC